CCAGCUACCGCCGAAUUCCGGGUGGACGUCCCCCGAGGAGUACCGAUGGUUUUUUCGGUCCGACGAUAUUUUUAGAGGUGAAAAAUACCCGUCGCUAUUCGCGAGACGCCCCCGAGAAUUCUCGCCUUCGUUUAGAUUUCGUUGUCGGGGAUAGGGGGGGAGGAAUUAUUGUAAACUCCGAAACCCGCAUACCCGCCGCAACGAUAUCGUACGAGUGUUAUUCCCAUCAAUCGGUUCGUUCCAAUGCCGGUUAACGUAAUGUUUCACUCUAUUUCCCCCCCCCCCCCCGUCGUCAACGACGUUUAAUUCUAUAACUAAUCGAAUUAUUGUGCAUUGGUACUAUACGCUGCGCGUGUAUUAUUUUUGUCGCAUGAUACUUCUCGAUGGUAUUUAUUCCCGAAUUCUCACGAUGGUUAUUUCAAUAACGUGACUCUCGUCGUCCUCCGCCGCAGUCCACAAGCGCAGGAGGUAAAUCGUAUUAAUCGUGACGAAAACGUGUGUGCUGUUUUGUAUUUUAUACGUCGUUCGUAUUACGAUGAAAAUAUUUUUUUUUUUUAAAAAAAUCGAAACUCACAUUUCCGAGAAAACGACCAAAAUCGACAAAUGGUUCGCCCGCAGUGCAACCGAGAAACGCGGAUUAUUCUCAAAUACGAUUUGGGCUGAGAAAAAUUCCGCGAAAAGUCGAG
Molecule: non-coding RNA, 686 nt
Organism: Cinara cedri
Lineage: Eukaryota; Metazoa; Arthropoda; Insecta; Hemiptera; Aphididae
Source: the annotation of a GenBank genome assembly